CUCUUCUUUGCAAGAAAGCAUCAUUUUAGGGUAAGAGCCAUUUCUCAGAUGUUCACCUUACUUUCUGUAGUAAGGCUUCAACAUGCUUGUGACUGCCUAUAACCCUAUCUUCAUCUUUCAAGGCCUGUGGAUACUGAAAACAAAACAAUGAAAGAACAAGACCUCUGAUAGAUUUCAUGGGCUUCUUGGAGGACCAACGUCAGUCAAUGGAAGUGUGAUGACUUAUCAGAGGCUUCCUUGGUUGCAGUACAGAAGAUGCAAUGCCAGCAGUGCUUUUUCAGGAGCUCCCUCUGAAGAAGAUCAUGGCUCAGUUACCAUGGACACCAAGAAGCUAUGCAGCUUUUUAUUCUUUUUA
RNAcentral lists this long non-coding RNA (355 nucleotides) under Homo sapiens (human). RNAcentral's name for it is "non-protein coding lnc-CENPW-3:2". The record is from RNAcentral. Lineage: Eukaryota; Metazoa; Chordata; Mammalia; Primates; Hominidae.